Molecule: ribosomal RNA, 327 nt
Filed under: uncultured eukaryote
Lineage: Eukaryota
Description: partial 18S ribosomal RNA
Rfam family: Eukaryotic small subunit ribosomal RNA
Source: RNAcentral
CCCUUAGAUGUUCUGGGCCACACACGCGCUACACUGAAGGAGGCAGCGUGUACUCCUGGAUCGAAAGAUUUGGGUAACCCGCGAAUCUCCUUCGUGCUAGGGAUUGAGGUUUGCAAUUAUCCUUCAUGAACGAGGAAUUCCCAGUAAGUGCAAGUCAUAAGCUUGCGCUGACUACGUCCCUGCCCUUUGUACACACCGCCCGUCGCUACUACCGAUUGAAUGAUUUAGUGAGGACUUCGGACUGGGACCAAUGCGGCUUUCGGGCUGCGUCGGUAUUCUGGAAAGAUGUCCAAACUGUAUCAUUUAGAGGAAGUAAAAGUCGUAACA